RNAcentral lists this RNase P RNA (404 nucleotides) under Roseococcus sp. SDR. RNAcentral describes it as "RNase P RNA component class A". It matches the Rfam family "Bacterial RNase P class A". Rfam says of the family: Ribonuclease P (RNase P) is a ubiquitous endoribonuclease, found in archaea, bacteria and eukarya as well as chloroplasts and mitochondria. Its best characterised activity is the generation of mature 5'-ends of tRNAs by cleaving the 5'-leader elements of precursor-tRNAs. Lineage: Bacteria; Pseudomonadati; Pseudomonadota; Alphaproteobacteria; Acetobacterales; Roseomonadaceae. The record is from RNAcentral.
CCGGAUGGCUGGGCGACCGCUGGCGCCGCGAGAGAUCGCGGUUCUGGAGGAAAGUCCGGGCUCCACGGAAAUACGGUGCCGGCUAACGACCGGCGUGCGCAAGCACAGGGAAAGUGCCACAGAAAACAAACCGCCAGCCCGGUUUCGGCCCGUCUGGCAAGGGUGAAACGGUGGGGUAAGAGCCCACCGCGCUUCCAGCAAUGGCGGCGGCACGGCAAACCCCACCGGGAGCAAGGCCGAAUAGGGAGGGCCGCCACGGCGCUUCGGCGCUGGUGGCAGGGGCAUUUCCGCCCCGUCCUCCGGGUUGGCCGCGCGAAGCCUGCGGCAACGCAGGCUCCAGAGGAAUGGUCGCACACGGUUCUUCGGGACCAGGACAGAACCCGGCUUACAGGCCAUCCGGUAUC